This 76-nucleotide transfer RNA is filed under the name Klebsiella phage vB_Kpn_3. RNAcentral describes it as "tRNA-Thr". Lineage: Duplodnaviria; Heunggongvirae; Uroviricota; Caudoviricetes; Demerecviridae. The record is from RNAcentral.
GCCUCAAUAGCUAAACCGGCAGAACAACCGCCUUGUAAGCAGUACGUCGGGGGUUCGAUUCCAACAAGGGGCACCA